Molecule: ribosomal RNA, 484 nt
Filed under: uncultured bacterium
Lineage: Bacteria
Description: partial 16S ribosomal RNA
Rfam family: Bacterial small subunit ribosomal RNA
Source: RNAcentral
AUUGAACGCUGGCGGCAGGCCUAACACAUGCAAGUCGAGCGGAUGAAGGGAGCUUGCUCCUGGAUUCAGCGGCGGACGGGUGAGUAAUGCCUAGGAAUCUGCCUGGUAGCGGGGGAUAACGUCCGGAAACGGGCGCUAAUACCGCAUACGUCCUGAGGGAGAAAGUGGGGGAUCUUCGGACCUCACGCUAUCAGAUGAGCCUAGGUCGGAUUAGCUAGUUGGUGGGGUAAAGGCCUACCAAGGCGACGAUCCGUAACUGGUCUGAGAGGAUGAUCAGUCACACUGGAACUGAGACACGGUCCAGACUCCUACGGGAGGCAGCAGUGGGGAAUAUUGGACCAUGGGCGAAAGCCUGAUCCAGCCAUGCCGCGUGUGUGAAGAAGGUCUUCGGAUUGUAAAGCACUUUAAGUUGGGAGGAAGGGCAGUAAGUUAAUACCUUGCUGUUUUGACGUUACCAACAGAAUAGGCACCGGCUAACUUCGUG